GGUGGGGGUUGGAAAGAUUUUUUGGUCUGGGAUGGGCUCGCGGCCUAUCAGCUUGUUGGUGAGGUAAUGGCUCACCAAGGCGUCGACGGGUAGCCGGCCUGAGAGGGUGACCGGCCACGCUGGGACUGAGACACGGCCCAGACUCCUACGGGAGGCAGCGGUGGGGAAUAUUGCACAAUGGGCGGAAGCCUGAUGCAACAACGCCGCGGUGAGGGAUGACGGCCUUCGGGUUGUAAACCUCUUUUAGCAAGGAAGAAGCGAAAGUGACGGUUCCUGCAUAAAAAGCGCCUGCUAACUACUUGCCAGCAGCCGCGGUAAUACGA
This 323-nucleotide ribosomal RNA is filed under the name Microbacterium sp. J2S10. Its description in RNAcentral is "bacterial SSU rRNA". It matches the Rfam family "Bacterial small subunit ribosomal RNA", at positions 191 to 528 of the family's 1533-position model. Lineage: Bacteria; Bacillati; Actinomycetota; Actinomycetes; Micrococcales; Microbacteriaceae. The record is from RNAcentral.